CGCUUAUAAAUGAGGGCACAGCUGGGUUCUGUGAUAAAAUGCCCAACUCCACCUGCUCUAGAUGUUGCAAAGAGUUGCUGGAACCAAACCCCAGUGACUUGUCAGCAUUCACGCCACUCCUUCCAAACCCUCCAGAAAGCACACCUGUGGAUGAGAGGCGCAAUUAACGUUAUCAGUCGUGAAGGAUCAGAAGGAAAACCCAGUGGCCGUUGGGAAUUGUGAGUGCCAUAACCACUUCAAGCAUUUGGGGUUUUGUUUUAUUUUCUCUGGCCUGGAGGGGUGUGGAGAGGGGCCAUAUAUAAGACAAAGCCAGUUUUCUCUUUUUGAGACAGAGUCUCCUUCCGUCACCCAAGCUGGAGCGCAGUGACGCAAUCUCAGCUCACUGCAACCUCUGCCUCCUGGGUUCAAGCAAUUCUCAUGCCUCAGCCUCCCGAGUGGCUGGGACUACAGGUACACCCCAUAAUGCCCGGCUAAUUUUUUGUAUUUUUAGUAGAGAUGGUGUUUCGCCAUGUUGGGCAGACUAGACUCGAACUCCUGACCUCAAGUGAUCUACCCACCUUGGCUUCCCAAAGUGCUGGAAUUCCAGGUGUGAGCCACUGUACCCAGCCCACUUCAAAUUUACCACUCCAGACCUUUGUUCUAGAUGGGGAGAACUGGACCCUAUGGGAAAUCAUACGGAUCUGAAAUUCACCCCGGAAACUGACCUGGGGUGAGGACAACAGGUGGAAUGAAACCCCAAGCAGACCCUAUAGAGGCAAGGAAGGAGAUUGAGACCCUUCUGCAGAAAGCUGUUAUGAGCCUAGAAUUUUAACUUAUGCUAUUGACACCAUGCCAAGCACCCAAGGAAAAGGAAAGAGAAGAACCUACACCGCCUCCUCCUUGCUAGUGAGUGAGGUAAAAUGAUCUGGGGAGGAAAAAAAACAAAAAAAAUGAGGUGAGAAACACCAGAUGGAGCAGAGAGACUGCCCAGAAAUUGCUGCUUUUGUCAACCUAGAUUUGUUUGCAGGUGAGUGCAGUGUUGAUAGAAAGCAAGUCUAUUUCCAGAGGGGAUCCCCAGGAUCUCCUAUCAAAGAGCAAGCUCUGGAGCUAGUCCCCAGAUGCAGACAGAUCUACUGACCGAACCACGAUCACUCCAACCCCAAUCUCCCAAGAGGUUCUGAGGAUACAAUAGUUCUCAAUCCUUAGGUACACACAUUGUUCACAGGGAGUGACUCGGUGGUUAUUAAUGGCUUAUUAGGCUGUUCUUGGAGGUAAUUUACAUCUCGUUUGAGCCUCUGCUUUUCAGGCAUUUUUCUGCAAAUGGCUGUAGGCUUUUUUCUAAAAAAAAAAAAAGAAACUAAAUCCAUUGAAUACUCAUGCAUAUUCUCCAAAAUGCCUUAAAUCAGUACCUAAAACUUGAAACUAGUUUUUCCCCCAUUGAAGAAAUUAUCUGGCCCUGAUCUCUCUUACUUGCUGUCCUGUGAUUGAAAAGAACUUUUGUGGGGGAAUUUUUAAAAUAAUUGCCACCAAAUACUUCAAAUGGAAUUCAGAUAGCAGUCUAUUUCACGUUUCAUGCUUUUGUGACAUUCUUGCUCAGGAAUGAAUCUUUUAUGAAAGGUCUAUUUUAAGUUGCACCUUCCAGAACUUUAUUUUUGUCUCUGAAAGAAAGAGGCAGAGCAGAACCUGGAUUCUUCCAAUUCACCGAUUUACUGUGAGCUUAGGAUUGGCUCUCCUGGGGGUCGGCGGGGUGGGGGGUGAUGGGCUUCCAGC
RNAcentral lists this long non-coding RNA (1749 nucleotides) under Homo sapiens (human). RNAcentral describes it as "HSALNT0244024". The record is from RNAcentral. Lineage: Eukaryota; Metazoa; Chordata; Mammalia; Primates; Hominidae.